This 235-nucleotide ribosomal RNA is filed under the name uncultured Klebsiella sp. Its description in RNAcentral is "partial 16S ribosomal RNA". It matches the Rfam family "Bacterial small subunit ribosomal RNA", at positions 563 to 797 of the family's 1533-position model. Lineage: Bacteria; Pseudomonadati; Pseudomonadota; Gammaproteobacteria; Enterobacterales; Enterobacteriaceae. The record is from RNAcentral.
AAGCGCACGCAGGCGGUCUGUCAAGUCGGAUGUGAAAUCCCCGGGCUCAACCUGGGAACUGCAUUCGAAACUGGCAGGCUGGAGUCUUGUAGAGGGGGGUAGAAUUCCAGGUGUAGCGGUGAAAUGCGUAGAGAUCUGGAGGAAUACCGGUGGCGAAGGCGGCCCCCUGGACAAAGACUGACGCUCAGGUGCGAAAGCGUGGGGAGCAAACAGGAUUAGAUACCCUGGUAGUCCA